UACGUAGGUCCCGAGCGUUGUCCGGAUUUAUUGGGCGUAAAGCGAGCGCAGGUGGUUUAUUAAGUCUGGUGUAAAAGGCAGUGGCUCAACCAUUGUAUGCAUUGGAAACUGGUAGACUUGAGUGCAGGAGAGGAGAGUGGAAUUCCAUGUGUAGCGGUGAAAUGCGUAGAUAUAUGGAGGAACACCGGUGGCGAAAGCGGCUCUCUGGCCUGUAACUGAUACUGAGGCUCGAAAGCGUGGGGAGCAACCAGG
RNAcentral lists this ribosomal RNA (252 nucleotides) under uncultured bacterium. RNAcentral describes it as "partial 16S ribosomal RNA". It matches the Rfam family "Bacterial small subunit ribosomal RNA", at positions 524 to 776 of the family's 1533-position model. The record is from RNAcentral.